UUGAGAGUUUGAUCCUGGCUCAGGAUGAACGCUGGCGGCGUGCCUAACACAUGCAAGUUGAGCUAUUUACUUCCGUAAAGAGCGGCGGACAGGUGAGUAACGCGUGGGUAACCUACCCUUUACCCACGGAUAACAUACCGAAAGGUAUGCUAAUACGGGAUAAUAUAUUUGAGAGGCAUCUCUUAAAUAUCAACGGUGAGCCAGUACAGGAUGGACCCGCGUCUGAUCAGCUAGUUGGUAAGGUAACGGCUUACCAAGGCGACGAUCAGUAGCCGACCUGAGAGGGUGAUCGGCCCCAUUGGAACUGACACACGGUCCAAACUCCUACGGGAGGCUGCAGUGGGGAUUAUUGCACACUGGGCGAAAGCCUGAUGCAGCAACGCCGCGUGAGUGAUGCAGGACUUCCGGUCGUACUACUCUUUCCUCAAGGAAGAUAAUGACGGUACUUGAGUAGGGAG
This 458-nucleotide ribosomal RNA is filed under the name Clostridioides difficile. RNAcentral describes it as "bacterial SSU rRNA". It matches the Rfam family "Bacterial small subunit ribosomal RNA", at positions 1 to 490 of the family's 1533-position model. Lineage: Bacteria; Bacillati; Bacillota; Clostridia; Peptostreptococcales; Peptostreptococcaceae. The record is from RNAcentral.